GAUGAACGCUGGCGGCGUGCUUAACACAUGCAAGUCGAACGAUGAAGCCCAGCUUGCUGGGUGGAUUAGUGGCGAACGGGUGAGUAACACGUGAGUAACCUGCCCUUAACUCUGGGAUAAGCCUGGGAAACUGGGUCUAAUACCGGAUAGGAGCGUCCACCGCAUGGUGGGUGUUGGAAAGAUUUAUCGGUUUUGGAUGGACUCGCGGCCUAUCAGCUUGUUGGUGAGGUAAUGGCUCACCAAGGCGACGACGGGUAGCCGGCCUGAGAGGGUGACCGGCCACACUGGGACUGAGACACGGUCCAGACUCCUACGGGAGGCAGCAGUGGGGAAUAUUGCACAAUGGGCGCAAGCCUGAUGCAGCGACGCCGCGUGAGGGAUGACGGCCUUCGGGUUGUAAACCUCUUUCAGUAGGGAAGAAGCGAAAGUGACGGUACCUGCAGAAGAAGCACCGGCUAACUACGUG
RNAcentral lists this ribosomal RNA (466 nucleotides) under uncultured bacterium. Its description in RNAcentral is "partial 16S ribosomal RNA". It matches the Rfam family "Bacterial small subunit ribosomal RNA", at positions 28 to 507 of the family's 1533-position model. The record is from RNAcentral.